This 526-nucleotide ribosomal RNA is filed under the name Salmonella enterica. Its description in RNAcentral is "partial 23S ribosomal RNA". It matches the Rfam family "Bacterial large subunit ribosomal RNA", at positions 1252 to 1772 of the family's 2925-position model. Lineage: Bacteria; Pseudomonadati; Pseudomonadota; Gammaproteobacteria; Enterobacterales; Enterobacteriaceae. RNAcentral also lists the same sequence under 3 other names. The record is from RNAcentral.
GAAGGUGGCCUGUGAGGGUUGCUGGAGGUAUCAGAAGUGCGAAUGCUGACAUAAGUAACGAUAAAGCGGGUGAAAAGCCCGCUCGCCGGAAGACCAAGGGUUCCUGUCCAACGUUAAUCGGGGCAGGGUGAGUCGACCCCUAAGGCGAGGCCGAAAGGCGUAGUCGAUGGGAAACGGGUUAAUAUUCCCGUACUUGGUGUUACUGCGAAGGGGGGACGGAGAAGGCUAUGUUGGCCGGGCGACGGUUGUCCCGGUUUAAGCGUGUAGGUGUGUGUUCCAGGUAAAUCCGGUUCACUUUAACACUGAGGCGUGACGACGAGGCACUACGGUGCUGAAGCAACAAAUGCCCUGCUUCCAGGAAAAGCCUCUAAGCAUCAGGUAACAUCAAAUCGUACCCCAAACCGACACAGGUGGUCAGGUAGAGAAUACCAAGGCGCUUGAGAGAACUCGGGUGAAGGAACUAGGCAAAAUGGUGCCGUAACUUCGGGAGAAGGCACGCUGACACGUAGGUGAAGUGAUUUACUCA